Molecule: ribosomal RNA, 368 nt
Filed under: uncultured Prevotellaceae bacterium
Lineage: Bacteria; Pseudomonadati; Bacteroidota; Bacteroidia; Bacteroidales; Prevotellaceae
Description: bacterial SSU rRNA
Rfam family: Bacterial small subunit ribosomal RNA
Source: RNAcentral
UGAGGGAAUAUUUGGGUCAAUGGACGGAAGUCUGAACCAGCCAAGUAGCGUGCAGGAUGACGGCCCUCCGGGUUGUAAACUGCUUUUAGUUGGGAAUAAACGGCGAGACGUGUCCCGCUUUGCGUGUACCAUCAGAAAAAGGACCGGCUAAUUCCGUGCCAGCAGCCGCGGUAAUACGGAAGGUCCGGGCGUUAUCCGGAUUUAUUGGGUUUAAAGGGAGCGCAGGCGGGCUUUUAAGUCAGUUGUGAAAUACGGCGGCUCAACCGUCGGACUGCAGUUGAUACUGGAAGCCUUGAGUUCACACAGGGAUGCCGGAAUUCAUGGUGUAGCGGUGAAAUGCUUAGAUAUUAGGAGGAACACCAGUGGCG